UACGGGGGGGGCAAGCGUUGUUCGGAAUUACUGGGCGUAAAGGGUUCGUAGGUGGCCUGCUAAGUCAGACGUGAAAUCCCUCAGCUCAACUGGGGAACUGCGUCUGAGACUGGUGGGCUGGAGUGCAGGAGAGGAACGCGGAAUUCCAGGUGUAGCGGUGAAAUGCGUAGAUAUCUGGAGGAACACCGGUGGCGAAGGCGGCGUUCUGGACUGCAACUGACACUGACGAACGAAAGCCAGGGGAGCAAACGGG
RNAcentral lists this ribosomal RNA (253 nucleotides) under uncultured bacterium. RNAcentral's name for it is "partial 16S ribosomal RNA". It matches the Rfam family "Bacterial small subunit ribosomal RNA", at positions 524 to 776 of the family's 1533-position model. The record is from RNAcentral.